AUCGCUUCUCGGGCUUUUGGCGUAAGAUCAAGUGUAGUAUCUGUUCUUUUCAGUUUAAUAUCUGAUAUGUCCUCUAUCCAAGGACAAUGCAUCAAACGGGUUUUUGGAGCAGGGAAAUGGAAUAGGAGGUUGCUCCUUCCACUCUGUGUAUGUACCUGGCAUUGCAGUAUCUCUGGUAACAGUGCACCCCCU
Molecule: small nuclear RNA, 192 nt
Organism: Manis pentadactyla (Chinese pangolin)
Lineage: Eukaryota; Metazoa; Chordata; Mammalia; Pholidota; Manidae
Product: U2 spliceosomal RNA
Exons: 1
Source: RefSeq, a predicted model, not a curated record